Molecule: long non-coding RNA, 475 nt
Filed under: Bos indicus x Bos taurus (hybrid cattle)
Lineage: Eukaryota; Metazoa; Chordata; Mammalia; Artiodactyla; Bovidae
Description: lncRNA (ENSBIXG00005012556.1)
Source: RNAcentral
CAAUAAUCCACAGAUUCAUCUGCUUUGAGAAAGAGGAAGGAAGAAGGGUGGUGUCCAGCACGGGAGGAAGUGGUCUAGUGAGAGGAGGGCAGAUGGAGGAACCAGGCAGGAUGAAGUAAGGCCCAGCUCAGGAGAAGCUUCAUCCCCUGAAAUCCACUGGAGAGAAAAUGGAAGGAGUCUGGACUUUGCAGAUUCAGCCCAUGCACUGAAAUAUUGCAUGCUUUGCAAUAUAAAGGAAAGAGAAACCUCAGGUAUCUGACUCUUGGACAUUUUGCAUCUGACGCUCUUUUCUACCAGAGGAAAAAGAGGUUUAUUACAAGCCAAGCCGUCUUGCCGUUUACUAACCACUGAAUAUUUAUUAUGGCGACGCGCCAGUGCUAAUGUACUCAAUUCAAGGUUUGGGAUUACAUGUAAAUCUGGGGUCAAGCUAACAACUGAGAAUAGAGAUGGGAAUAAAGAUGGGAGGGGAGGAGCA